Molecule: small RNA, 547 nt
Filed under: Pongo abelii (Sumatran orangutan)
Lineage: Eukaryota; Metazoa; Chordata; Mammalia; Primates; Hominidae
Description: retained intron
Source: RNAcentral
GAAUGAUGCAGAGGGUAAUUAGAGAUAUGGUUGUGUACAACGUAUUUAAGAAAGAGCAAGAUGAGUACCAGUUAUAAAUAAAGAACAACAGAGCAGUGUUUACGAGUCACAUUUAUUUUGAGUGCUCUGAUAAUCUGGUUAUGUGAAGGGUUAUUUGCAAAUAAUAUACUCUACAGGUAUAAUUCUGGGAAAAAUAUUAUUUUUGUGUUGUAAUUAUUAUUUGAAAAGAUGUUUCCCUGGGUUUUUUCAAUUUGUUGAUAUUUAUUUGUUUUAAUAAUGUGAAAUUAUGUUGUGCGUUUUUUCUUUCCACAGACAGCAAUGGAUCAACUUCAUAUGCACUUCACCCAAGCCAUUCACAACACCGUGUUUCAAGUUGUUCUUGGUUAUGUGGAACUAUGUGCAGGAAACACAGACACAAAAUUCCAAAAGCUGCAAUAUAAGGAUCUCUGUACACAUGUUACACCAGACAGCUAUAUUCCAUGCCUUGCAGACCUGUGCAAAGCACUGUGGGAAGUUAUGCUCAGCUAUUAUAGGACUAUGGAAUGGC